AGAGUUUGAUCCUGGCUCAGGACGAACGCUGGCGGCAGGCUUAACACAUGCAAGUCGCACGAGAACGUUCUGGCUUUGCCAGGACAAGUACAGUGGCGGACGGGUGCGUAUCGCGUAGAUAACCUGCCCUCAGGCGCGGGACAAUCACGGGAAACUGUGGCUAAUACCGCACGUCGUCUGGACCCCGCAUGGGGACCAGAUGAAAGCCUUCGGGCGCCUUUGGAUGGGUCUGCGUUGGAUUAGCUUGUUGGUGAAGUAAAAGCUCACCAAGGCAACGAUCCAUAGCUGGUCUGAGAGGACGAUCAGCCACACUGGGACUGAGACACGGCCCAGACUCCUACGGGAGGCAGCAGUGGGGAAUCUUGCACAAUGGGGUCACCCCUGAUGCAGCCAUGCCGCGUGGAGGAAGACACCCCUAUGGGGCGUAAACUCCUUUUCUGAAUGAAGAAACCCCUGUAGCUUCAGGGCGCGACGGUAGUUCAGGAAUAAGCACCGGCUAACUCCGUGCCAGCAGCCGCGGUAAUACGGAGGGUGCAAGCGUUGUCCGGAAUCACUGGGUGUAAAGGGUGUGCAGGCGGGGCAACAAGUCGGAUGUGAAACCCCAUGGCUCAACCAUGGAGGUGCAUUCGAAACUGUUGCUC
This 641-nucleotide ribosomal RNA is filed under the name uncultured bacterium. RNAcentral describes it as "bacterial SSU rRNA". It matches the Rfam family "Bacterial small subunit ribosomal RNA", at positions 8 to 641 of the family's 1533-position model. The record is from RNAcentral.